UACUCCAAAAUUUAUCAGUAUUGGAGGAUUGAUUGUUUCCAAAUCAAUACUCCUGGGCAUCAUUCAUGGCUGUCUAGUAGUCGACAUACUUCUGGUUCCAUUUAGUGUAUGCAGGUAGCAGCAGCUUAAGUGUAAUGGAGUUGUUUUGUUACUCUAUGCCUACUUCGUUAGAGUUAGCAUCACCUCCUUGUCAUUCAUAGCAUAAACGCCUUCACUAUUCUUGCUCUGAACCUCUGAUCCUGAUACUGAUUGUAUUUUUCUUGAUGGAAUUACAGGCAACAUGGUGACUCUAGUGCAGGCAGCGUUGGCCAUCCUCUUCGAGGCUGUGUUUAGGACGAGCUGCAGCAGGACAACCUGGAGCGGAAGAACUUCGAGGGCAAUAUCAAGGAGAACCAGGAGACGAUCUCCGGUUACCUCAUCCUCGUCGGCAUGCUUGGCUCCUUUGGCAGACCCCUCUUUGGCUCCGACCAACUUACUUUUGUCGCUGGCUAGCAGCAUUUCCAGGUGUUGUGUUCUGGAAGAUGGAAGAGGAAGAAAAUUUAUUUUUGUUGAACUAAAUUUUUUGUAUUCUGUUUUGUUGUACGUAUGAUUUGAUAGUUUUGUAUAGGAACAUGUGAUACUAUUUUGUAGGGCUUUAUGGCCUGUGAUGUAAACAUAUUUAGUGAUGAAUUAUGAAAUUAUUUGCAAAAUUUAUUGAAAAGGAGAAUCAUUUGUAUGAAUAUGGGCCGCAUAUAUGUG
Long non-coding RNA from Aegilops tauschii subsp. strangulata, 738 nucleotides. RefSeq lists it as uncharacterized. The record is from RefSeq and is a predicted model, not a curated record. Lineage: Eukaryota; Viridiplantae; Streptophyta; Magnoliopsida; Poales; Poaceae.